This 497-nucleotide ribosomal RNA is filed under the name uncultured bacterium. Its description in RNAcentral is "partial 16S ribosomal RNA". It matches the Rfam family "Bacterial small subunit ribosomal RNA", at positions 28 to 507 of the family's 1533-position model. The record is from RNAcentral.
GAUGAACGCUGGCGGUGUGCCUAAUACAUGCAAGUCGAGCGAACAGACGAGGAGCUUGCUCCUCUGACGUUAGCGGCGGACGUGUGAGUAACACGUGGAUAACGUACCUAUAAGACUGGGAUAACUUCGGGAAACCGGAUCUAAUACCGUAUAAUAUAUUGAAGCGUAUGAUUCAAUAGUGAAAUACGGUUGUGCUGUCACUUAUAGAUGGAUCCUCGCCGCAUUAGGUAGUUGGUAAGGUAACGGCUUACCAAGGCAACGAUGCGUAGCCGACCUGAGAGGGUGAUAGGCAACACUGGAACUGAGACACGGUCCAGACUCCUACGGGAGGCAGCAGUAGGGAAUCUUCCGAAAUGGGCGAAAGCCUGACGGAGCAACGCCGCGUGAGUGAUGAAGGUCUUCGGAUCGUAAAACUCUGUUAUUAGGGAAGAACAAAUGUGUAAGUAACUAUGCACGUCUUGACGGUACCUAAUCAGAAAGCCACGGCUAACUACGUG